UACAGAGGUCCCAAGCGUUGUUCGGAUUCAUUGGGCGUAAAGGGUGCGUAGGCGGUCGGGUAAGUCGGAUGUGAAAUCUCAGGGCUCAACCCUGAAACUGCAUUCGAUACUGCCUGGCUAGGGUACUGGAGAGGAGACUGGAAUUUACGGUGUAGCAGUGAAAUGCGUAGAUAUCGUAAGGAAGACCAGUGGCGAAGGCGAGUCUCUGGACAGUUACCGACGCUGAGGCACGAAGGUCAGGGGAGCAAACGGG
This 253-nucleotide ribosomal RNA is filed under the name uncultured bacterium. Its description in RNAcentral is "partial 16S ribosomal RNA". It matches the Rfam family "Bacterial small subunit ribosomal RNA", at positions 524 to 776 of the family's 1533-position model. The record is from RNAcentral.